Molecule: ribosomal RNA, 494 nt
Filed under: uncultured bacterium
Lineage: Bacteria
Description: partial 16S ribosomal RNA
Rfam family: Bacterial small subunit ribosomal RNA
Source: RNAcentral
GACGAACGCUGGCGGCGCGCUUAACACAUGCAAGUCGAACGGAAAGGCCUGCUUUCCCUUGUGGAUUGCGGGUACUCGAGUGGCGAACGGGUGAGUAACACGUGAGUGAUCUGCCCCCAACUUGGGUAUAAGCCUGGGAAACUGGGUCUAAUUCCCGAUAGGACUGCAGGGUGGUGCCUGUGGUGGAAAACGAUUUUCUAGUGGUUGGGGAUGAGCUCGCGGCUUAUCAGCUUGUUGGUGGGGUAAUGGCCUACCAAGGCGGCGACGGGUAGCCGGCCUGAGAGGGUGGACGGCCACAUUGGGACUGAGAUACGGCCCAGACUCCUACGGGAGGCAGCAGUGGGGAAUAUUGCACAAUGGGCGGAAGCCUGAUGCAGCGACGCCGCGUGGGGGAUGACGGCCUUCGGGUGGUAAACUCCUUUCGACCGCGAGGAAGCCACCUGGUUGGAAGGGUGGUGACGGUAGUGGUAGAAGAAGCACCGGCUAACUACGUG